GAUGAACGCUGACAGAAUGCUUAACACAUGCAAGUCUUUGGCAAAGCUGUGCUUGCACAGCCAAGCCAAGGCGGACGGGUGAGUAACGCGUAAAGAACUUGCCCCGCAGACAGGGAUAACAGACGGAAACGACUGAUAAAACCUGAUAUAAUUGCCGGUACGCAUGUGCCCGGCAAUGAAAAGAGAUGCUGCGGGAGAGCUUUGCGUCCUAUUAGCUGGUUGGCGGGGUAACGGCCCACCAAGGCGAUGAUAGGUAGCCGGCCUGAGAGGGUGAACGGCCACAAGGGGACUGAGAUACGGCCCUUACUCCUACGGGAGGCAGCAGUGGGGAAUAUUGGACAAUGGGGGCAACCCUGAUCCAGCAAUUCUGUGUGCACGAAGAAGGUUUUCGGAUUGUAAAGUGCUUUCAGCAGGGAAGAAGAGAAUGACGGUACCUGCAGAAGAAGCGACGGCUAAAUACGUGCCAGCAGCCGCGGUAAUACGUAUGUCGCAAGCGUUAUCCGGAAUUAUUGGGCAUAAAGGGCAUCUAGGCGGCCCUAUAAGUCUAGGGUGAAAACCUGCGGCUCAACCGCAGGCCUGCCCCGGAAACUAUAGGGCUGGAGUACUGGAGAGGUGGACGGAACUACACGAGUAGAGGUGAAAUUCGUAGAUAUGUGUAGGAAUGCCGAUGAUGAAGAUAGUUCACUGGACGGUAACUGACGCUGAAGUGCGAAAGCUGGGGGAGCAAACAGG
RNAcentral lists this ribosomal RNA (732 nucleotides) under uncultured Leptotrichia sp. RNAcentral's name for it is "bacterial SSU rRNA". It matches the Rfam family "Bacterial small subunit ribosomal RNA", at positions 28 to 776 of the family's 1533-position model. The record is from RNAcentral. Lineage: Bacteria; Fusobacteriati; Fusobacteriota; Fusobacteriia; Fusobacteriales; Leptotrichiaceae.